RNAcentral lists this long non-coding RNA (6038 nucleotides) under Aquilegia coerulea. RNAcentral's name for it is "long non-coding RNA (ACOE_LNC000986)". The record is from RNAcentral. Lineage: Eukaryota; Viridiplantae; Streptophyta; Magnoliopsida; Ranunculales; Ranunculaceae.
ACUAGCAGUUCAUCAAAGAAGUGAUGCUUGCGCUCAGAAGCUCCCCACAACCAAUACCAGAUAAUACCCUUGAUUUGCAUGAUCAUAUUCUGAGAGUUUGUUUUCACCUUUUCGAAGAUAAUCUCAUUCCGCGCUUUCCAAUUGACCAAACUACAACUGCAGGUAACAGUUUCCACAAGUUCCUCCCCAACAAACCAGUGUUCUCUUGUGGCCAAUCCUUAAUAACAUCCACCAUAGCAUGUCCCUGUAGCAGUAAACUAACCUCUAUCCUUUUACUUCGUGCCAGACAUCAUAAAUAACAGGACAAUCAAAACACAAGUGAUCUAUAGUUUCCAUCCCCGUUAAACACCACACACACUUCACAUCAGCCUACUCCAAGAAACACACCACAUAAAAAUUCUAAUCUUCAAUGGGAUUUUCAGAUUCCAAAUGACCAUAGGUGCAAAAGGUAUCAAUUCUCUCCAUCCCAUCUGAUCAUCUUCAUCAGAAACAACCAGAUCCUGCAAAGCAAUAACAUACGACAUACUUCCUUCUUAAGAUUUCAAAAUCCUAGAUAGAUCUAGCAGCAGUACACUUGGUUGAGUAUCACAAAGUUGUAACUUAAAAUCACAUUUAUCAUCUGGUCCACAACCAAUCUGAUCUGCAAGCAACUGAGCACUGCCCAUCGGACCCAAAAAAGAGGAAAGAAGAUAAAUCUACAACAUACUAACAAAAGAAGUUGAAAAAAGGUACUAGGCUAAAAUCCAUAUCAAACAACAAAAGGCUUGUUCAUAACCUUACAACAACAGAUUCAAGCAUGGGAGCCUCAUAACUAAAACAUGCAGUUUUACAGUUUAACAUACAAUUUUGAACAAAUCUCAUAUCUACUGGGCUACUGGCGAAAUAAGAACACACCACUUUAAUUCAAAAAGUAGAUACGAAAUUUAUCUCUACUCUUAUGAUUUGGGUAAUCUUCCGCAAGCAUAUGCACUAUAAUAGAGAGGGUUUCUGCAUUACGUAAGAUGGCUCUCUCCUCCAUUAAACUCAGCCAUUAUAGUGCCUGGUGAAUAUUGCUUCUCACAAGGAAUGCUUGAACCAUGAUAUUGAACGUAUGAUCAUCUGGAGGAAAAUAUCUCAACAUAAAAAUAACUUUUAAAACUAGAUCAGUGGAAAACAGCAUACGCAAAAGCUUAGCAAAAUAAACCAUGAUGAAAAUAUAAAUUCCAUACCUUUCUCCCUGCAUCAGUAAAACUGGCAAAACUAAACAAGCUUGUAUCCCAUGAAGGGGCCAUAUUUGUGAACGUUGAAGAUUUUGUAAAUGCAGGAGUCUUGUCCAAUACAAGAAAAAUAUACACUCAUUAUAUAGUUUAAUUAUUCAGUAUCUUAGUGAGUUAGUGUUUACUUUAAAGGCAAACUCAGUACAAGUAUUCAUUGCCCAAAUAUGGAAUCACAGCCUUAACUUAUUACUUCAAAAAGUAGUUACGAAGUAUAUCUAUAUUCUCAUUAUUUGGGUCAUCUGCUGCAAGCAUAUCCACUAUAUUGGAGAUGGUUUCUGCAUGACGUAAGAUACCUCUCUCGGCCAUUGUAGUCAAAAACUGCACUGCCUUACUACUAUCAUUUGCUUUGAGGAAUGCUUGAACCAUAAAAUUAAAUGUAUGAUCAUUCGGAAUGAUACCUUUCUGCCCCAUCUCCAUGAACAUAUCUUGAGCAUCAUUCAGCCUCCCUUUUUUGCAAAAGCCAUGGAUCAUCGUAGUGUAUAUCCUAGCAGUAAGCUGCAAGUCUUUAGCAGGUAGGGUGUAAAAUAGUUCCCUUGCCUCAUUUAGUUUCCCCGCUUUGCACAUAUUGCAAAUAAUGAUGUCAUAAAUCAGAACAUUGGGUUUUAAUCCAUUCUUUUCCAUCGAAUAAAAUAAUUCCAUAGCUUCGGAAAAGCAACCAUUGUCAAACAACCCAUUGAUUAAACCUGCAUAAGUGACAAUAUCUGGAUUUUGCCCAUGACCUUGCAUAUCUUUGAAAAGAUCUUGUGCAGUAGAAAGUCUCCCAACCUUGCAUAGCCCAUCAAUAAGGGUAGUGUACGUGACAGUGUCAGGUUUCAACCCAUUGCAAUUCAUAUCUUCCAAAAGUUGCAGUGCAUCAUCCAAUCUCUUAGCCUUGCAGUAACCAUUUAUCAAAAUGUUAUAACUGAAAACAUCAGGUUCAUGACCCUUAGCCACCAUGGAAUCAAAAACUCUUUUCGCCCUUUCCAUUUUUCCUUGCAGACAGUAUCCAUCCAUGAGUACACUGUAAGUGACAAUAUUGGGGUGUGUGCCUUUAGUAACCAUUGUAUCGAUUAGUUCCUGGGCAUGUUCUAGCAUCCCUUUCUUGCAAAUGGCAUCGAUUAAUGUAUUAUAUGCGUGUGCAUCUGGCAUCACCCCUUGGCUGAUCAUAUCCUUGAAUAACUUAAUCGCUUUAUUCAACUGAUCGGAUAUGCAUAGACCAUGGAUUAAAGAGUUAUAUGUGAUAACAUUUGGUUCUACACCACUUUGUUGCAUUAACUCCAAUAACUUGAAUGCUUCGCCGGUCUUGUUAUCUUUGCAUAGAGCAUCAACCAAAAUGCUGAAUGUUAUCACAUCUGGCAUGAUUCUCUUUUCCAUCAUCUCUUUUAACACACGUAGGGCUGAAGUUACCUGAUCAAUGCGACAUAGUCCAUGAAUCAACAUGCUGUAGGUAACGAUAUCUGGUACCAGUCUCCUGCUAUCAAUCAUUUCUCGGAAGAGACUGAAAGCUUUGUGAACCUGAUCUUCCUUGCAGAGACCGUCAAUAAUCAUACUAUACAUGUUAACAUUAAUGCUAAUCUGUCUCUUCUCCAUUAAUCUCAACAAUGUAAGGGCAGCAUUAGAGUCUUUAGCUUUGCAAAGACCGUUGAUAACAACUCCAUAAGUUACAUGAGUACAUGGAUACUGAUACUCCACCAUUUUUUGAAAGAGUUUCAAAGCUUGUAUCUUUUUACCCUGGAGAAAAAGACCCUUGAGAAGAGUAUUGAAAGUAACAAUAUCUGGUUGAAACCCAAGUUUCAAAAAUUGUCCAAAUACAGCAAAACCCUCUGUAUCCGCACGACCUAAUUGGCAAUAACAAUUGAUCAUAAUGUUAAAAGUAACAACAUUUGGUUGAAUUCCAAUUGAAUCCAUGGUUUUAAUUAAAGAAAACACUUUGUUAUAAUGUUUCAUUUUGGUAAUAGCUCCUAACAAUUGAGUGAAAGGGAAAAUGGAAGGUAUUGGUCGCAUUCGAAUCAAACGAUGGAACAAAUCCAAAGCUUCAUCAAUACCAAGAUCACCAGAUUUACAUCUAUCUCUCACUAAUUUCUCCAAACAAGAAGAAGAUGAUGAUGAUGAUGAUAAUGUUGUAGUAUAAAGACGAUGAUAAUGUUGUUGUUGUUGAUGGUUUGUUGUUGUAGCUACUAUGGAACGAUGAUGAUGAUGGUUAUAAUAGAAUAAAAGACAAGAACAAAACUUCAAUGUACUACUUCUACUUCUACUAACCUUUGCUGUUGUUAACAUCAACAUCAACAUCGCCAUUAAAUUCUUGAGCAAGAAAUUAAAAUGAAGAUACACGAACACGAUACAGUUGCACCACCACACAAGAUGGGCUUUAAGUUGGGCUUCAUUUCUGACGCAACAUUAUUUCGGCCGGCCCAAAUUGAAACAUUUUGUCUUUUUCUUAAACAAGUGAUUAAAACUGAAACAUUUUGUCUCUGACAAGUGAUAGUGAACAAUAACAUUGCUUAAAUGUGCCAAAGGGAGAAGAAGAUGAAAAGAUAAAAUGUAUACAGUUAUCUCAGUAUUAAGUUUAGAGAACAACUCCAAAUAUGCCUACAAAUGCUCAUAUGAAUAUCUUGCAUCAUCAACUCCACAACUCCAAAUUGAUAAAAUAUUUACUAUUUGGAAUCAUGUUAGGCCUAAUUCCUAUUACAUUGGCUUCAUUAAUCAUAACUGCAUUAGUUAUCUAGAUCAGGAAAUAGAGGAUUGGAACAGUUAAGGUGCUGUUUAUUGUUUAGAUACUAGUGCCAAAAAGCUUAUCAGCUUCAGGAUUUAGCUUAUAGAAAUAUUGCUCUACUAACCAUUCUCUACUAUCAAAUCUUACAAGUUACAAGACAACAAAAAUAAACAGAUUUUGGCGUGCUCUACAAGUUUAUAAGCUAGUAUUAGCCCCUUGAUGAAAACAAAAAACAAACACCUUAAUCAGUCUAUUGACAAAAAUCCAUCUCUCUAAGGUGGCCUAUGGAUUAAAUUUUAUUACCCCUGAGUGGGUGGGUGGGUGAUGAAAGGAUGCAUAAGAAUUGACUGUGAGAUUUCAACCCAACCCAUGUUUACCAAAUGAUAUGGCUGGUAUGCAAUACGCAGAAACAAAAAACCUCAAGUAAAACACAUAUUGGAAAGAACAUCAGAGUUACAAAUAGUCAGUCAAAAAUUUAUAAAACAUCACUAUUCCCGUUAAAGUAAAAGGCAUUUGAAUUAUAGCAUUCUAAUAUCAAAACAUUUAUUAAAAGUAAAAAACACUGGAAAAACAACUGCGUAAUCAAAACUACACGAAGCAGUAUAUGAACAAAUAGGCCUCUCUACCUUAGAAUCUGAUGAACUAAAGGAAUUGGUGAUUCUUGGCAUAGCCUCUCUACACGAAGCAGUGUAUGAUCCUUAUACCAGUUUCAGCCCAAAGACUAUGCUCGGCUGACAGUGACUCUAUAAAGCCUGAAAGAUAAGCACCAAAACACCAGUGCUAAAGUUUUUAGAACCAUAACCACUAGAUAUAGUUCUCUUCUUCAGACUAAUCUUUCAUUACUCAGUAUAUCAUGGAAAAAGAAAAUGGCAACCAUAUACUCACUGCAAAGAAAGAGAACAAAACACACAAGCAUAGACACAGUAAUUAAAAAUCUGACCUAUAAAAAUCUACAUCCACAGGUUAUUGAGCCUUCCUGAGAAAAGAAUUUUUUUCAUGGCUCCAGCAACAAAACUUGGCCGAGUAUCAUGAAGUUGAAACUCAAAUUCACAUAUAUCAUCUGGUCCACAACCAAUCUGAACUGCAAGCAACUGAGCACUACACCCCCACCCCUAAAAAAGGAAACAAGACAAGUCUAUAACAAACUAAAAGGAGUCGAAUAAAAUAAACUUGAUUAAAAUCCAGAUUAAACAAUAACAAGCUUGUUCCUAAUUUACAAAAGAAGUUUCAAACAUGCGAGCCUAAUCAUUAAAGCAUGUACAGCCACAUACAAUUUUUGAACAAAAUCUAAUCUACUCGCACUACCUUAGUUCGUCACUUCUUCAAAAAGAAGUUACGCAGUCUAUCUCUACUUUCAUGAUUUGGGUAAUCUGCCGCAAGCAUAUCCACUAUAAUAGAGAUGGUUUCUGCAUGAUGCAAGAUAGCUCUCUCCUCCAUUGUAUUUAGAAAUUGCAGUGCCUUGUGAAUAUCACUUUUCACGAGGUAUGAUUGAACCAUGAUAUUGAAUGUAUGAUCAUCUGGAAGGAUUCCUUUCUGUUCCAUCCUGUUGAACAAAUUUUGAGCAUCAUCUAGGAUCCCUUUCUUGCAAAAUCCAUUGAUCAUCGUAGUAUAUGUCCUUGUGCCAGGCUGCAAAUCUUUCAAAGAUAGGCUGUAAAAUAGCUCCUUGCCUCGUUUAGUUUCCCUUCUUUGCACAUACUGCCUAUGACGAUGUCGUAAAUCACUACAUUGGCUUUUAAUCCAUUCCUUUCCAUCAUAUGAAACAGUUUCAUUGCUUCAGAAAAAGAACCAUUGUCACAGAACCCAUCAAUCAAAGCACCGAAAGUGAAAAUAUCUGGACUCUUCCACAAGCUUGCAUAUCUUUGAAAAUCUUUUGUGCAUCGACAACUCUCCCAACCUUGCAUAACCCACUAAUAAGGGUAUUGUAUGUUACAGUGUUAGGUGUCAACACAUUGGAACUCAUAAUCUCAAAAAUUCUUACGGCAUCAUCCACUCUCUUACCCUUGCAGUAACCAUUUAUCAAAAUACUGUAACUGAAAAUAUCAGGUUCAUGACCCUUAGCCACCAUGGAAUAAAAAACCCUCCUUGCCUCA